Molecule: long non-coding RNA, 2387 nt
Filed under: Solanum tuberosum (potato)
Lineage: Eukaryota; Viridiplantae; Streptophyta; Magnoliopsida; Solanales; Solanaceae
Description: long non-coding RNA (STUB_LNC006538)
Source: RNAcentral
AAAGAACCAGACGACCCCUGCAUCUUCUUCACGCGAGAAACGAUACAACAGCAACGCAUACCAAACUCGACCUCACCCCAUACUUGCUUUCGUCUUCUUCACGCCUAAAAUCACCAGAAAUCGCGGAGAACCCAGAGACGUGAUCAUCUGCGAAAACCCAUACCCUAGCAACCUAAUCCAUCACCAUCGUUGUCCCUUUUUUUUAGGGAUUCUCAAAUCCUUCCGCUGAUUUCGAAUUCGAAUUUCAAAUUAUUAUUUUUCUAUUAGUUUUCCCUCUCAAACGCCCUGAUUUCCCCCAUAAAAAGCCCCCUAUGCUUAACGCCCUGAUUUCCCCUAUAAAAAGCCCCUAUGCUCAGCGAUUCUAGGGGCAGAGAUUUUCUUGAACGAUAAAUUUUACACUUGGGAAAUUUCAGACGUCUAAAGUUCGAAGAAGGUCUUUUGUUCGAAGUUGGUCUGAAUUUCUUGGUUGGCUGCCCUAGACUAAAAUCGUGUGAGGAGUCGUCCUCUUUUAAGCUCAUUCGUCCCAGCUCGCUGCUCCGAAAGAGGUAACUUCAUCUCUUCUCCUAUAUCAUGUUGGUUUACUUUCCAUUUGAUGAAUUAGCUAUAUAUUCGUUCUAUUUGAGUUCGGGCUGAUCUUAUGAUAUGUGAAAAUAGGAUGGAAGUAGCAAGGAACAUGUUUUCAUUUUGAAUUUCCAGUCACUAGUCCUUUUUUUUUUUUAUAUGUAUAAUUGAUGACUUCACUAUAUCACUGCAUUAUAAUCAUUCAUUGGCAUUCAUGUCUUAUGUAUAUUAUUCCAAAUUCAUGAAGGUGUUCUAUUCAUCUUAUGUGCCUAGAUGUAUUCGGAAAGAGUCCUAACUUACAUUUUGUCUAAAUCUUUUCGACAUGUUGCUUCCUUUAGUACCGUAUUUCCAUUCGAAUCUGAAAGUGACCGCCAUAGAUCUUUGCAUUAUAUUUCUCGGUUCACUUUAUCCUUUUCUUUUCAAAAUUAGCUUAAUGGUAAAAAUAAUAUAUAUAUAUAUAUAUUGCUUUUGAUUCAUGUAUACGGCAUCUUGAGUUUCAUAUAAAAAUCAGCCUUUUAAUUUGGUUUGUAAUUAAUUUCAGUUUGAGUUAUUAGAGGCAGUAGCAUUUCCGCUUGAAAAUUCCCCUAGAAUCUAUAUCUUGUUGUAGGAAUUUUUUUUCAUGAGUAAUUGUAAGAUAUUUUGAUAUCCAAUAGUUAUAAUUUCCCUCCCAAAAUUGCUAGUUCUUGUUUUUUUAGCCCAUUUUUAUAUUGUGAAAGUUUCCAGAAUGCUUUGGUUGGUUUUUACUUCUAUCUGUACAUAUAUAUGCUUACUCAUUUAGUGGUAGUGUUAGCAUGUUAAGGGAUUUGGAUAUGCAUGUAGUAUAUAUUUUGUUGUGGACAUUUUGUAAUGUUUACCCAUUUAGUAUUAACUAAAGUUGCCCUAGCUUUCUUAGCCUUAACUGUUGGUGUCAUUUGUUAGCAUGCAUUUGUUUAUCAAAUGGGUUGGAUAGUAUAUGUAUUAUUGUGGACAUUAAGCGCUAACAGUAAUUUAAGUAACCAUUUGUUUUAUCAUUAGCAUAGCUUGAGUCUUUAGAAUUUGUGCUCCUUACCUAGAUCUGCACUGUUUAAUUCAAUCGAGCCAUUUGCCAUAAGAGUUGUUGUGAUUUGUCUUACGUAUAAUUGUUGUUCUAUUAUUAUUGGAUGCUAACUCUUAUCAUCAUUUUUUGUUGCAUGUGAAUCCCUUCCGAGUCCAUGGUGGACUUCUCUUCCUAGCAUCCUCGAGUUGAGCCAUAAAGGCUCAAUUUUUAUUUUUAUUUUUCUUCAUCAUUCGAGUCAGCCAGGCACAUAAAACAGAAGCACAGGGCUGGAAAAUAGAAAACACAGAUAUUUAGAGCCGAAAAAUGGGUCGUAUACAUGUUGUAUACACAAGUAUACACUGAUAUACAGGACCAAAACGCAAAAAUACAAGGCGAAGGUGAAAUAUAGGUGUUCGGAAGAAGGAGAUACACGAAAAGAGCUGAUAUACAUUCCGAUAUACACUAAUAUACAGCCUGUGUAUACCAAAAACGGGAAUUGUGUUAAACUCCAAAAACAGCAACGAAAUUAGCCCAAAAGGGGGCCCAAAUUCAAAUUUCUCCCUUACUCGCUAAUUAUUUAAUUGUGAUUAUUUAUUGUUUGUUGUUUAACUCUAACUUUAUAAUCGUAAAUCAACUUAGUUAGAUCUCCCAAAAGACGAGCUAUUUCUCUGUGUUGUUUUGUUUCAAACGAAUCUCAUUUUAUCAAUUUUUGUAUUGUCAUUUAUAAUCUUUAGUCAAAACUUUCUUUUUUCUUUUACUAGUUUAACAUAGUUUUUUUCAUAAACAAAAAAUGACUCAAAUAAAAAUCAAC